AUGACUGCCUUGAUGCUUUAUUUUCUUCUGAAAAUUUUGGUGAAAUCACCAAGAUCAAGAGGCAUUCAAGAAUCCAGAUUGCAUCAGAAGAGUUGUGCUAUAGCUGUGAUCAUAACUGAAGGCCAUGAUUCUGUUCACCUCUACCUUCAAAACAAAAAGGACUUUGUGCUCAGAAUGGCUGUAUUCAUUCCCUCACUACCUUCACAGGAUAUGAUCCUCCUCCAAAAGCCCUCCAAAACUUUCAACAGAAGGCCAAUGGCAUGCAGCAGGAGAGACCUCAGUGUUUAAACAGUAACUGCUUGCACUCAAGGACUGUCCUUGCUCAACGGUGCUGAUGGUGCAGGCAUGGCUGGCUGCAAGCAGGCAGAUCUGCGCAAGGAAACAAGGAAACAGUGCUGAUCAGCCAUCAAACUUUAUGUGCUCUCACUUCUUGUAGACAAGCAAAUUCACUUCCCUGUGCCAUCCCUGGGACCUUUUGUUUUCUCACUCUACAUGCAGAUACUGGCAGAGGAAACAAUGGAAAGCUGUCUUCAUUGAACUGGCAACAAAAAUACAACCGUAAAGGUUUCACAGACAGGGGAAAAUCUCCAGCUACAGCCAGGGGAAAAUCUCCAGCUACCAUGAUGUCAUGUUCACUUAUGAAAAGCAAAAAAAAAUACAGAUCUUGGUGACUAGAGAUGUGCCUGAAGCUAGAAACUCAGUGAAAGAGGAAUUGCAGCUGGCUACUGUGAACCAGAGAUGAGACUAAGCCAAAAAGAAACAGUGACAGCUUUUAUACAAUUAAUACAGGAUCUGUUCCAACAAAAUAACCUUUUCUGUUUUAUUUAAUCGUCCAAAAGAAAUGAAUAAUGGGAAGGAAGGUGGGAGGAAUAGCCUGGUUCAAGAAAAUCCUGGAUGAUGGAAACUCACUGGACUUGGUUGCUGCUUUUUUUCUCCUCUGAAGAAAUGAUGAAAGAAGUUAAGCAAGAGAAUCAAAAUCAAGUGAAUUCAGGACUCAACGGCUCCUUGCCAUUAAAAGAUAUUUUCCUAUUGGCAUGAUAAAGAGAAUGAAAGAGUCACAAAGGGCACUGAGGAGGCAAGAAGGGAAGGGGUUUGCUAGCCAUUAGAAUCAUUAUUUCCACCUUAGUGAUGAAUAGUCAGGAUCAGGAAAAAGGAAAAUAGUAAGAAACCUCUGUUGUGCAAGAGCAAGACAAAGGCAGAUGAACUGGCAACAGCUAACACUGACCUUGCUAUCAGGCGUAGAAAUGGUCUGCAAAUGUUCACAGCUGUUCAAAAAUACCAAGGCAACAGCUAGGAAAGCAGCCACCUCUUCCAUCUCUUUUCCACCUCUUCUGCCUUAGCUCUUGAGAGCACGACUGAAAAUAUGUAAAGAAGGUAAAGAAAAGAAUACACUCCUGCAAAAAAUGUACUGAAGAGUCAAUAUUCAUUUAAAUAUUUUAGUGCCAUGUUCUCAUGUUGUUACUGCCACUUUUCAUUGCAGAUUAUUGUAUGAACAAAAUAAUUCUGUGAAGGAAACUUUAUAGGUAAUCAACAAUCAUGACAGCACAUGUGGUUUCUUGUGCCUGAAAUUACUGUAAGAGAAAAAUUUGAGGCAUAGAAAUGGAAAAGCACACAGAAAAAAAGGAAAAAAGACAUAUUAGGCCCUGAGGAGGAAUUUCCCUCACCUAAAUUUAGAUGUCAGAAAGGUAGAAAUAUAGAAUCCCUCAGCACUCAGAGGUACUGCUGGAGGACAGUAAUUUCCUCACAAGAUAAAUGCCUAAAAUAGAUUAGAUCAAUUUAGAUUAAUUAUUUCCUGAAAUUGUCUAUAUUUGUCCAGUGGCCCCCGAGAAACAAUACACAGAUUACUAACUAACUUUUAAAUGGACAGUGCUAGGUAAGUUUUUCCCAUCAUAAGAGUGUGCUGAAUAUUACAUGCAAUGGCACAUCUCAGAGAAUCUCAUUAAUUCAUAUGCAUCAUCUCACACUUCCCAUAGAAACAGUAAAGCACCCAUUCUGUAUGUAAAUUAUGAAAAGGGGAGGACUGGAAACAAUCAUUAACUUUAUGAGAAAUAAGAAAAUACUUUUUAUUGUACUAUAGAUAUUAAAAUGAAAUAUUCUAGUAAUUUUUAUCUAAUAUUUAACAGGCAGCAUUGAAGGGGAGGAAAAAUAAUUGCCUGAAUGAUAAAAAUACUAGUUACUGUUGAAUUGAGCACUAAAUCAUCUAAGUAUAUAAGUAAACAUUCCUGCAGAGUUUUACAGCUAUAGGAGUAUACAAUGCUGUGGCAAAAAUGGCAUAUAUACUAAGCUAAAGCUUAGUAAAAUUUGAUGUGGAAGACUUUUGUUUGUGUUCUUCCUUCAUAAGACCCCCUCUGUUACUCUUACAGCCUAAGCAACAUGAUUCAUUUGCACUGUUGGAUUAUUUCUGUCCCACUAAGCAAAGUUGCUGCCUUUUUUCAUGUUUAUACACUCUUCAAAAACCAUUAAGACCCUGCCUGACUUUCACAGUAGCCAGUGUGUCUUUUGUUUGAACAAAAAGACACAGUCCUGAUUGUCAGUUUGGAAACAGACAUCUCUUUCUUUAUCAUCAUGCCCAGAUAUUAUUGCUCAUCUUUUCCGAAGUUGUGAUCCAAAGUAUCAUGAGAGGAAAUUAAAAGGCACAACAGGGGACAGAUGUAAAAGAGUGUCAUCCUUUGAAUUUACCGUCUUUUAUAAAUUCAAAUGAGAUUAUUUAUACAGGGUGAUCAAAUGAUGGUCAAACACGGAAACACUCAGCAGUUCAGUAAGGGUCUGUCUAACCAAGUAGUUAAAAAUUGUUUACUCUCAUGUGCAUGCCCUGACUCCCUUCUAAAAUACCAAACCAGCACUUUAAGCUUCAAGACCAUUUUUUCUUUAAGGAGACUUAUUGAAGUCUUCCUUUAAAGCUUAUGACUCUUCCAGUUGUCAGAUCUGUUUGAGUCAGAACACAUACAUGCUCUGUCUUAUUUCUUCCUCAGAAGGGAUCCAAACCUGUCUCAGUAAAGCCCAGAGUCACCCUCCCAUGUAAAGGUAGUAAAGAGAGAACAGGAAAGGAACAACGCUCAGAGGUGUUCUUGACCACAAUCUCCUAAGCACUUAGCACAGCUCAACAAACAAAAGUCUGUCUUGGUUAUUCAGAUAAUUCUAUUUCUAUAUAUGUAUCCAGAAGUCUACCCAUUUAAAAAAUAUAAUGAUUCAGCAGCGGCUCACAUUACCUGAUCUGCUCUGAAAAUAAUACCUCCUAUUUUAUUAAAUUGGACCAUCUCGUCAGAGAUUUUUUUGGUGGUAUGGUAGUAGAGGCUGAAGCUUCCUGCCAAUAUUCCAUUACAUGUUAUUGUCAUGUGACAGAUGUCAGCAGAGGGGCACCCUGACAAAACGGUCUCUGACAUGGAAGUAUCAAGCAAAGAUUCAAAAUUGAAUUCCUCUAUGUAGAAAAAAAUGGUACUCAUUGCUGUUUAUCAAUGCCUGCUGAAUGUUUGUGGAGAAUAAACAGUGGAUGUGAGUAAAAUGAGGCA
Coturnix japonica (Japanese quail) is the source of this 3509-nucleotide long non-coding RNA. The record is from Ensembl. NCBI's taxonomy places the organism in Eukaryota, Metazoa, Chordata, Aves, Galliformes, Phasianidae.